AGUGAACGCUGGCGGUAGGCCUAACACAUGCAAGUCGAACGGCAGCACAGUAAGAGCUUGCUCUUACGGGUGGCGAGUGGCGGACGGGUGAGGAAUACAUCGGAAUCUACUUUUUCGUGGGUGAUAACGUAGGGAAACUUACGCUAAUACCGCAUACGACCUACGGGUGAAAGCAGGGGAUCUUCGGACCUUGCGCGAUUGAAUGAGCCGAUGUCGGAUUAGCUGGUUGGCGGGGUAAAGGCCCACCAAGGCGACGAUCCGUAGCUGGUCUGAGAGGAUGAUCAGCCACACUGGAACUGAGACACGGUCCAGACUCCUACGGGAGGCAGCAGUGGGGAAUAUUGGACAAUGGGCGAAAGCCUGAUCCAGCCAUACCGCGUGGGUGAAGAAGGCCUUCGGGUUGUAAAGCCCUUUUGUUGGGAAAGAAAAGCAGCAGGUUAAUACCCCGCUGUUCUGACGGUACCCAAAGAAUAAGCACCGGCUAACUUCGUG
This 492-nucleotide ribosomal RNA is filed under the name uncultured bacterium. Its description in RNAcentral is "partial 16S ribosomal RNA". It matches the Rfam family "Bacterial small subunit ribosomal RNA", at positions 29 to 507 of the family's 1533-position model. The record is from RNAcentral.